UUUCUAAGGAAAAACGGAAGCACGUUUGGCGUAUUGUUUAGUUUUGAGAGGUCUUGUGGGGCCUUAGCUCAGCUGGGAGAGCGCCUGCUUUGCACGCAGGAGGUCAGCGGUUCGAUCCCGCUAGGCUCCAUUGAAUCGAAAGAUUCAAAGAUUGUCCAUUGAAAAUUGAAUAUCUAUAUCAAAUUCCACAAUUAGAAAUAAUUGUAGAAAGUAACAAGAAAUAAACCGAAACGCUGUGAUUUAAUGAGUUUAAGGUCAAUAAGACCAAAAUAAGGUUAAGUUAAUAA
This 287-nucleotide transfer RNA is filed under the name uncultured bacterium. RNAcentral's name for it is "16S-23S intergenic spacer". The stretch from base 58 to 130 matches the Rfam family "tRNA". The record is from RNAcentral.